Long non-coding RNA from Papaver somniferum (opium poppy), 412 nucleotides. RefSeq lists it as uncharacterized. The transcript is spliced from 3 exons. NCBI's taxonomy places the organism in Eukaryota, Viridiplantae, Streptophyta, Magnoliopsida, Ranunculales, Papaveraceae. The record is from RefSeq and is a predicted model, not a curated record.
CCAACGCUUGGUGGGUUCAACCGAGCAGUGCUCUAACAUAUACUGUUGUCUAUUCCCUUGUUGGUGGUGCUCAAAAUAUGGAAAUGCAAAUUGAUUGUUCAAGAAGUAUAAGACGAGGAGCGUUGACACAUUUGAUGUUCGGGAAGUCAUCAAAAAGUAUGGCUCGGAGGAAUGGGGAGAGUAUCUUAUUCGUGAAGCACAUCUUUCUCAAAGGUUUUGCUUUGACGAUGUUGGAUAUUAUCGUUAUUGUGGGUCAUUUCAUUUUCUUCAAAACAAGUCAAUCAUCUGAGCUUAUCAAAAAGUCUUCGUGGAGCUAAAGAUUCAUCACCUGGCUGUAAAUGCUCCCUGAAGAGGAACCAAAUCUAUGAGAUCGAAGGACGAGUCUUGUUUUGAUGCAAAACUCGUAGGUAUA